CCUACGGGAGGCAGCAGUGGGGAAUAUUGGACAAUGGGCGAAAGCCUGAUCCAGCCAUGCCGCGUGUGUGAAGAAGGUCUUCGGAUUGUAAAGCCCUUUUGUUGGGAAAGAAAUCCAGCUGGCUAAUACCCGGUUGGGAUGACGGUACCCAAAGAAUAAGCACCGGCUAACUUCGUGCCAGCAGCCGCGGUAAUACGAAGGGGGCUAGCGUUGCUCGGAAUUACUGGGCGUAAAGGGCGCGUAGGCGGAUCGUUAAGUCAGAGGUGAAAUCCCAGGGCUCAACCCUGGAACUGCCUUUGAUACUGGCGAUCUUGAGUAUGAGAGAGGUAUGUGGAACUCCGAGUGUAGAGGUGAAAUUCGUAGAUAUUCGGAAGAACACCAGUGGCGAAGGCGACAUACUGGCUCAUUACUGACGCUGAGGCGCGAAAGCGUGGGGAGCAAACAGGAUUAGAUACCCUGGUAGUCCACGCCGUAAACGAUGAUUGCUAGUUGUCGGGCUGCAUGCAGUUCGGUGACGCAGCUAACGCAUUAAGCAAUCCGCCUGGGGAGUACGGUCGCAAGAUUAAAACUCAAAUGAAUUGACGGGG
Molecule: ribosomal RNA, 587 nt
Filed under: uncultured bacterium
Lineage: Bacteria
Description: bacterial SSU rRNA
Rfam family: Bacterial small subunit ribosomal RNA
Source: RNAcentral